Molecule: long non-coding RNA, 768 nt
Organism: Pristis pectinata (smalltooth sawfish)
Lineage: Eukaryota; Metazoa; Chordata; Chondrichthyes; Rhinopristiformes; Pristidae
Exons: 7
Source: RefSeq, a predicted model, not a curated record
CUCUGCCCGUCCUCUUGUCUGGCUGGUUGGACGGUGGUGAAGGGACCAUCCUCCUCCAUCCAUUGCUCUCCGCUGUUGUUAUCUUCUUAAAUUUGCUUUAAUAUUCCUCGUAAGAUGUGUUGUCCUGGGAUCUUGGAUCUUCGCGUGGUCUUUGCUGCUGGUUACAGCAUUAGUUCCUCUCCACUGAGAAUUAAUAGAUGACUGAAGUGAUCAUGGAGAUUGUAAGUUAUUGGUGUGAUGAGAACAUAGUCUGCAGCUUUUGAAAACCAAAGAUAACUAAUGGUUAUUCGAAGCAGGGAAUGAGGUGACUGGAUAUUGGCGCAACACUUCAAUGGUAUGCCAUGAUUCCCAGAAUGGAGCAUGUUCGUACUUGCCAUUGACUAGAAGCACUGACUGGAUGUUGGCUGAAUUUCCAGAAUUAUUUUUGCUUUGCUAUUGAUAACUAUCUACUGAACAGUAAUGUACUAAUAAACAAUACAAACUGAAUUUGUUUGAGAUUCAAAAUCUGUUUUACUUCCAGAGCUAUGAAACAACCUUGCAUUGGUUCUGUGUUUCAGGGCAGGGUAGCAAGCUGUGAAGCUCCCAAAAGCCAAGACUAUAGCAGUAAUGCUGUCUGACCUGCCGAGUUCCUUCAGCUUUUUGUGUGUUGCAUGAUGAAUGAGUGGAUAUUGUUUACUUGGAUUUUCAGAAGGCUUUUGACAAGGUGCUGCACAUGGUAUUACAGGUAAAAGAUGCAGGAGCCUGAGGGCACAUACCACCAGGCUCAAG